UCUGUGAGAUCUGACCUUGUCCUUCAUUUGGCUGAGAAGGGUAUCCAUGUAGUAUGUAGCACUUGUCUUUUAUGUGUCCCGAUCUUUUACAGUACUCACAAAAGAGUCUAGACCUACUAGAGCUGGCUUCAUUAGUGUUGGUGUUGGAUGUGUAGCUCGUUUUGAAGUUCUUAGUGCCUGAAGCACUUGCAGCUAGAGAAGCAGUUUCAGCAAACAUCUGGUUGUGUGGUUUGAUUUCCCUUUGUUUUUCUUCCUGCACAAGAAGUGCAAAUGCUUGUCCCAUAGAGGGUAGAGGAGUCAUCAUGAGAAUGCUUCCUCUCAUUAUUGUGUAAACCUCAUUUAGCCCCAUGAGAAAUUGGGUCAAAUGCCUGUCAUGUUCAGCCUUAUACGUGAUAUCUUUGGCACUACAAGUGCAUCGACAGUUGCAUAUGUGAUUAGCUGCUAAGGUAUUGAGUUCUUCCCACAAUUUCUUCAUUCUGGUUAGUAACCAGUAAUGUCAAAGGCACCUUGACUCAAAUCAUUUAUCUCUUUCUGAAUUUGAUACAAUUUCGCUCCAUUGGUUUGAUCAUAUCGGUCCUGCAGUUCUUUCCAAAGUUCCUCCGAGUUGGCGACAUAUUCAACACUGUCUGCGAUUUCCUUUGAAAGGGAAUUCAAAAUCCACGAAAUGACCAUAUCGUCACAUCUUUCCCACUGACGAACCGUCAUAGAUGGAGUAUCAGGUUUUGGGUAUUCACCGGUGACAAAAUCCAAUUUAUUCUUGACAGAAAGUGAUCUCAAAACACUUCUCUUCCAUGAGCGAAAACC
This 804-nucleotide long non-coding RNA is filed under the name Solanum tuberosum (potato). Its description in RNAcentral is "long non-coding RNA (STUB_LNC008777)". Lineage: Eukaryota; Viridiplantae; Streptophyta; Magnoliopsida; Solanales; Solanaceae. The record is from RNAcentral.